CUCCUCUCCCCCGGAAGGUGCGCCCUCAUAAAUCCCCACACACUGCCCAGUUUCUUUCUCUUUCGUUCGCUCUAAUUUUGUUUCAAUCAUGAAAACAAUGAGCAGACGUAACAGCCGGACCAUCUAUGUAGGCAACCUCCCUGGGGACAUCCGUGAGAGGGAGGUUGAGGAUCUCUUCUACAAGUAUGGUCAGAUUUUGGAUAUUGACCUGAAGAUACCUCCAAGACCUCCUGGAUACGCUUUCGUUGAGUUUGAGGAUCCACGUGAUGCUGAUGAUGCAAUUUAUGGGCGUGAUGGGUAUAACUUUGACGGCUACAGGCUGCGGGUUGAAUUAGCUCAUGGUGGAAGAGGUCAGUCUUACUCUUAUGAUCGUUCAAGCAGCUAUAGCAGCGCACGCCGUGGAGGUGUUUCUAGGCGUUCUGAUUACCGUGUUAUGGUUACUGGUUUACCUUCAUCGGCGUCGUGGCAAGAUCUGAAGGACCACAUGCGACGUGCUGGUGAUGUUUGUUUCUCUGAUGUAUACCGUGAAGCCGGAGAAACUAUUGGAAUUGUGGAUUAUACAAACUAUGAUGACAUGAAAUAUGCGAUUAGGAAGCUUGAUGACUCCCUGUUCAGGAAUGCAUUUUCAAGGGCAUAUAUCAGAGUGAGGGAGUAUGAUGCUAGAUCACGAAGCAGAAGCCGUAGCCGCUCGUACUCGAGAAGCCCCAGUUACAGCAGGAGCAGGAGUCCAAAAUCUGUUUCCUGGUCACCAUCACCUGUGGAUGAAAGACAUGCCAUCAUUUUGUAGACUAGCCCGAAGAUGGGUGCAUACUGUAGUAAAAUUGGUAAGAGAGUGCUAUGUUAACUAAUUUACUUCCUACCAUGUGAUAUACGUCCAAAAAGCAAAAUGCCUUUUCAGAUCUUAGAGCCUGCCUUGUACAAACUUAUGCAUAUGCAGCUCCACAUUUUUAAGCAUAUGCUCUACCCUAACCUUCUAGAUCAUGCUCCUCGAAAGUUUUAAGUUUUGUCUCUACUACAAACUUCUGAAGUAGGGAGUGUUGCCAAGUCAGAGAGGGGAAAUGGCUUAUAGUAUGCAGUAAGAGAGUAAAGAAAAGGGCAUCACCAGAAUUUAAGUUUCUUUCAAAACCAUGGUUUUGUCACUUCUGCUGCUGUAUCAAUCAGUCAUCUCUAUAGCAUGGCAGCACCUCUUUGUUUCGUCUCUCUCUCUCUCUCUUUUUUCUCAUGGAGAAGCUUCAGUGCUCUCCUUAUUUUUUGACUUCAUACAUCCCUAACCCUGAGUUCUUUGCCGUAUUUAACAAAUAAAUGUACUACAUAUAUGGACUCAAAUUAUGUUUCCUACUUCAUAUUUUAAAAGUAAAAACAAGGACUCUAUAUAUGAAAUUCACCUAUGUUCACCAUAGAUUUUAAUCAUAGCCUGCUGCAAAAGAAAUUCAUUCUUUUUUUUUUUACUAAAGCCGGAAGGAAAAAACAAGGCUAGGUGCCUGAAUUUUGAUUGAUAUACUUUGGAAUGCUUCGUGGUUUAUAACACUCAUGAUAUGUUUUUGUGAUGUACCAAUUUCUCUUUAAACUAGCAUGACUUGAAUUUACUCUGGUUCAGUGAUUACUGAUUAAACAUACCGAGCUUGCUGGCUAACCUGCACUGCUCAAGGUUUGCUUUUGUUUUUCCUAGAUCUGGCCAUGCCCGCAAUCUGAGGACUGCAUUGGUAGAAUAUUGGAUGUAUUGAGAAUCGGAGUGGAUGGUUUGGGACUUUGGAUAGUAGAGCUGGAUUGUGAUGCAUGUAUGACAAGUGGGCUACAACCAGUCUUAGGAGCAAGAUAGGACUGACAAUCGCUAUCUAGAUCCCGAUCCCCUGUCUCUUCUCCUUCUCGUGGAAGAUCUGCAAGCAGAAGCCCCAGGAGCAGAAGCGCAUCCCGUUCCCGUUCUCCUGUGAGAUCUGAUUCAACUAGGGAACCCUUGAAGCGGUGAGCAAUUAUUACCAGAGAAAGGAAAGGAAGUUGAGAACAUGCACUACCAUCACAAUGAUCUGAAUGAUUCUGUUGUUGCCACUGCUCCCCCUCAUUUGGGAGGUUUGCUUUUAUUUAGUAUUUAAUAAUUACAUUAUUAUAUUGCUAAAGAGUAAAGAGAGUCUUACUAGGCAUAGCGUACUGGUGUAAACUGAACUUCUAUGUCCUGGGCCCUUGGCACUCAGGACUGAACUUCUAUGUCCUGGGCCCUUGGCACUCAGGUUUCAUCAUCAGUUCAAUUGGUCACUUGCAAACACAGUUGUGCGGUCGAUGUACUCAGUUAUUUGGUUUAUCGGUGCUACCUAUAUGCUAUUAC
This is an RNA transcript of Setaria italica (foxtail millet), 2320 nucleotides long. It is a transcript of the gene named serine/arginine-rich splicing factor SR30, with no coding region annotated. The record is from RefSeq and is a predicted model, not a curated record. The transcript is spliced from 15 exons. Lineage: Eukaryota; Viridiplantae; Streptophyta; Magnoliopsida; Poales; Poaceae.